ACACAUAGGCAGUUAUAGUAGGCAAAUUAGUGAUUCUUCAAGAGGAAAGCAGCAGAGUCAUAGAAAACAAAGAACACCAAAUAGGACAAAUGUGUUUUUUAUUUAUUUUUGAAUUCAGAAACUGUGGUGAAAUGAGCAGAAUUGCCUGGAAGCUGCUCUGGAAGCUCAUUCAAGGUUACCUGGGCCAGCCAGCUGGAACUGCAGCAGAACAUGGACCUAUCCUGCAGAUCCAGCUGAGACCCUGACCUUCACAUACUUCUCUAUGGGACGGAGAAUAGAAUGGGAGACUCCUGCUUCCCCUUUGCUUGUUGACCCAGCCUUGUAAGAUUUCACUUUCCCUAAUAAAACCCAAUCCGUAGCCCACG
RNAcentral lists this long non-coding RNA (365 nucleotides) under Homo sapiens (human). RNAcentral's name for it is "HSALNT0128861". Lineage: Eukaryota; Metazoa; Chordata; Mammalia; Primates; Hominidae. The record is from RNAcentral.